CCUACGGGUGGCAGCAGUAGGGAAUUUUGCGCAAUGGACGAAAGCCUGACGCAGCAACGCCGCGUGCUCGAGACGCCCUUCGGGAUGUAAAGAUCUGUCAUUGGGGACGAUACUUGACGGUACCCGCAGAGGACGCAACGGCUAACUCCGUGCAAGCAGCCGCGGGAAUACGGGGGGUGCAAGCGUUGUCCGGAGGCAUUAGGCGUAAAGAGUUCGUAGGCGGCACGUAAAGUCUGGUGUGAAAGGCAGAGGCUCAACUUCGGUACGGCACUGGAUACUGGAGAGCUAGAAUGCGGUAGAGGUAAAGGGAAUGCCUGGUGUAGCGGUGAAAUGCUGAGAGAUCAUGAGGAACAGCGGUGGCGGAAGCGGUUUACCGGGCCGUAAUUGACGUUGAGGAACGAAAGCCAGGGGAGCAAAUGGGAUUAGAUACCCUAGUAGUC
Molecule: ribosomal RNA, 440 nt
Filed under: uncultured bacterium
Lineage: Bacteria
Description: partial 16S ribosomal RNA
Rfam family: Bacterial small subunit ribosomal RNA
Source: RNAcentral